RNAcentral lists this ribosomal RNA (116 nucleotides) under Pteropus alecto (black flying fox). Lineage: Eukaryota; Metazoa; Chordata; Mammalia; Chiroptera; Pteropodidae. The record is from RNAcentral.
GUCUACGGCCAUGCCACCCUGAACAAGCCCAAUGUCUGAUCUCAGAAGUGAAGCAGGGUAAGGUCUGGUUAGUACUUGGAUGGGAGACCACCUAGGAAGACCAUAAAUAAUAAUGA